UACAGAGGUCUCAAGCGUUGUUCGGAUUCAUUGGGCGUAAAGGGUGCGUAGGCGGCGCGGUAAGUCGGGUGUGAAAUCUCGGGGCUUAACUCCGAAACUGCAUUCGAUACUGCCGUGCUUGAGGACUGGAGAGGAGACUGGAAUUUACGGUGUAGCGGUGAAAUGCGCAGAUAUCAGGAGGAACACCGGUGGCGAAGGCGGGUCUCUGGGCCGUAACUGACGCUGAGGAGCGAAAGCAUGGGGAGCGAACAGG
Molecule: ribosomal RNA, 253 nt
Filed under: uncultured bacterium
Lineage: Bacteria
Description: partial 16S ribosomal RNA
Rfam family: Bacterial small subunit ribosomal RNA
Source: RNAcentral